RNAcentral lists this ribosomal RNA (450 nucleotides) under uncultured bacterium. RNAcentral's name for it is "partial 16S ribosomal RNA". It matches the Rfam family "Bacterial small subunit ribosomal RNA", at positions 338 to 795 of the family's 1533-position model. The record is from RNAcentral.
CCUACGGGCGGCUGCAGUAAGGAAUAUUGGUCAAUGGAGGAAACUCUGAACCAGCCAUCCCGCGUGAAGGAUGAAGGGGCUCUGCCUUGUAAACUUCUUUUGUCUGGGGCGAAAAAGCUCGAUUUAUCGAGAACUGACGGUACCAGAAGAAUAAGCACCGGCUAACUCCGUGCCAGCAGCCGCGGUAAUACGGAGGGUGCAGGCGUUACCCGGAAUCACGGGGUCGUAGGGGGCCUAGUACGUCUUAGGUGAAAUGCUGUGGCUUAACCAUGGAGUUGCCAUUGAUACUGCAGAGCUUGAAUGAGGUUGAGGUUGGCGGAAUGUGACAUGUAGCGGUGAAAUGCUUAGAUAUGUCAUGGAACACCGAUUGCGAAGGCAGCUGACUGGACCUAUAUUGACGCUGAGGCACGAAAGCGUGGGGAGCGAACAGGAUUAGAUACCCCGGUAGUC